This 440-nucleotide ribosomal RNA is filed under the name uncultured bacterium. RNAcentral describes it as "partial 16S ribosomal RNA". It matches the Rfam family "Bacterial small subunit ribosomal RNA", at positions 338 to 795 of the family's 1533-position model. The record is from RNAcentral.
CCUACGGUGUGCAGCAGUGGGGAAUCUUGCACAAUGGGGGAAACCCUGAUGCAGCAACGCCGCGUGAGUGAAGAAGUCUUUCGGUAUGUAAAGCUCUAUUAGCAGGGAAGAAGAUGAUGGUCCUUGAUUAAGAAGCCCCGGCUACGUACUUGCCAGCAGCCGCGGUAAUACGUCGGGGGCCAGCGUUAUCCGGAUUUACUGGGUGUAAAGGGAGCGCAGACGGCAGUGCAAGUCUGGAGUGAAAGCCCGGGGCCCAACCCCGGAACUGCUCUGGAAACUGUGCGGCUAGAGUACUGGAGGGGCAGGCGGAAGUCCGAGUGUAGCGGUGAAAUGCGUAGAUAUAAGGAGGAACACCAGUGGCGAAGGCGGCCUGCUGGACAGUAACUGACGCUGAGGCUCGAAAGCGUGGGGAGCAAACAGGAUUAGAUACCCGAGUAGUC